RNAcentral lists this ribosomal RNA (448 nucleotides) under uncultured bacterium. Its description in RNAcentral is "bacterial SSU rRNA". It matches the Rfam family "Bacterial small subunit ribosomal RNA", at positions 328 to 792 of the family's 1533-position model. The record is from RNAcentral.
UGCCCAGACUCCUACGGGAGGCAGCAGUGGGGAAUAUUGCACAAUGGGGGGAACCCUGAUGCAGCGACGCCGCGUGGGUGAAGGAGUAUUUCGGUAUGUAAAGCCCUAUCAGCAGGGAAGAACAAUGACGGUACCUGACUAAGAAGCACCGGCUAAAUACGUGCCAGCAGCCGCGGUAAUACGUAUGGUGCAAGCGUUAUCCGGAUUUACUGGGUGUAAAGGGAGCGUAGACGGCCAUGCAAGCCAGGGGUGAAAGCCCGGGGCCCAACCCCGGGACUGCCCUUGGAACUGCAUGGCUGGAGUGCGGGAGGGGCAGGCGGAAUUCCUGGUGUAGCGGUGAAAUGCGUAGAUAUCAGGAGGAACACCGGCGGCGAAGGCGGCUUACUGGACUGUAACUGACGUUGAGGCUCGAAAGCGUGGGGAGCAAACAGGAUUAGAUACCCCAGUA